This is a small nuclear RNA of Heterocephalus glaber (naked mole-rat), 147 nucleotides long. Its record names the gene U4. It matches the Rfam family "U4 spliceosomal RNA". Rfam says of the family: U4 small nuclear RNA (U4 snRNA) is a component of the major U2-dependent spliceosome. The structure of U4 snRNA from yeast and human has been reported. U4 snRNA presents a k-turn RNA motif in the 5p-SL related to recognition of Snu13 protein. The record is from Ensembl. NCBI's taxonomy places the organism in Eukaryota, Metazoa, Chordata, Mammalia, Rodentia, Bathyergidae.
AGCUUUGUGCAGUGGCAGUAUCGUAGCCAAUGAGGUUUAUUCGAGGCGCGAUUAUUGCUAAUUGAAAAAUUAUUCAUUCUAAUCAUUGGUACAUUUUAGGUAUACAAUAUAAUGACAUUCAUCAUUGGAAAUUUGCACCUUUACAUA